CUGGAAUGAUAGUAUUGAUAUUAGAGAGACAAGUGAGGGUAAGGUAAUACCAUUUAUUCAAUCAGCUUUAGUUGGUGAGAGAGACAAGCUUUUGAGC
This is a long non-coding RNA of Gopherus evgoodei (Goodes thornscrub tortoise), 97 nucleotides long. RefSeq lists it as uncharacterized. The transcript has 3 exons. Lineage: Eukaryota; Metazoa; Chordata; Testudines; Testudinidae. The record is from RefSeq and is a predicted model, not a curated record.